This 253-nucleotide ribosomal RNA is filed under the name uncultured bacterium. Its description in RNAcentral is "partial 16S ribosomal RNA". It matches the Rfam family "Bacterial small subunit ribosomal RNA", at positions 524 to 776 of the family's 1533-position model. The record is from RNAcentral.
UACGGGGGGGGCAAGCGUUGUUCGGAAUUACUGGGCGUAAAGGGCUCGUAGGCGGCCAACUAAGUCGGACGUGAAAUCCCUCGGCUCAACCGGGGAACUGCGUCCGAUACUGGAUGGCUUGAAUCCGGGAGAGGGAUGCGGAAUUCCAGGUGUAGCGGUGGAAUGCGUAGAGAUCCGGAAGAACACCGGUGGCGAAGGCGGCCCGCUGGGCAGUGACUGACGCUGAGGCGCGACAGCGUGGGGAGCAAACAGG